CCUACGGGAGGCAGCAGUGGGGAAUAUUGGUCAAUGGACGAAAGUCUGACCCAGCCACGCCGCGUGAAGGAUGACUGCUCUAUGGGUUGUAAACUCCUUUUAUAUGGGAGUAAAACAGAGUAUGCAUACACUCUUGUAUGUACCAUAUGACUAAGGAUCGGCUAACUCCGUGCCAGCAGCCGCGGUAAUACGGAGGAUCCGAGCGUUAUCCGGAUUUAUUGGGUUUAAAGGGAGCGUAGGUGGAUUGUUAAGUCAGUUGUGAAAGUUUGCGGCUCAACCGUAAAAUUGCAGUUGAAACUGGCAGUCUUGAGUACAGUAGAGGCAGGCGGAAUUCGUGGUGUAGCGGUGAAAUGCUUAGAUAUCACGAAGAACACCGAGUGCGAAGGCAGCUCGCUGGACUGCAACUGACACUGAUGCUCGAAAGUGUGGGGAUCAAACAGGAUUAGAUACCCGAGUAGUC
This 460-nucleotide ribosomal RNA is filed under the name uncultured bacterium. Its description in RNAcentral is "partial 16S ribosomal RNA". It matches the Rfam family "Bacterial small subunit ribosomal RNA", at positions 338 to 795 of the family's 1533-position model. The record is from RNAcentral.